Molecule: transfer RNA, 74 nt
Filed under: Methylococcales bacterium
Lineage: Bacteria; Pseudomonadati; Pseudomonadota; Gammaproteobacteria; Methylococcales
Description: tRNA-OTHER
Rfam family: tRNA
About the family: Transfer RNA (tRNA) molecules are approximately 80 nucleotides in length. Their secondary structure includes four short double-helical elements and three loops (D, anti-codon, and T loops).
Source: RNAcentral
GCGGCGAUAGCUCAGUCUGGUAGAGCACCCGAAGAUUCGGUAAGUCGUUGGUUCAAAUCCAACUUGCUGCUCCA